GACGAACGCUGGCGGCGUGCCUAAUACAUGCAAGUCGAACGGUUUAGUUCCAAGAGGCUUGCCUUUUGGAACUAGACAGUGGCGGACGGGUGAGUAACACGUAGGCAACCUACCUGUCAAACCGGGAUAACCUCGGGAAACCGAAGCUAAACCCGGAUAAGCUCCUUUUUCGCAUGAAGGGGGAGUGAAAAGGUGCGACCUGAUGACAGAUGGGCCUGCGGCGCAUUAGCUAGUAGGUAGGGUAACGGCCUACCUAGGCGAUGAUGCGUAGCCGACCCGAGAGGGCGUACGGCCACACUGGGACUGAGAUACGGCCCAGACUCCUACGGGAGGCGGCAGUAGGGAAUCUUCGGCAAUGGGCGAAAGCCUGACCGAGCAACGCCGCGUGAGUGAGGAAGGCCUUCGGGUUGUAAAACUCUGUUGUUUGGGAAGAAGGGAAAGGGUAGGACCCUUAGGUGACGGUACCAAACGAGAAAGCCCCGGCUAACUACGUG
RNAcentral lists this ribosomal RNA (494 nucleotides) under uncultured bacterium. Its description in RNAcentral is "partial 16S ribosomal RNA". It matches the Rfam family "Bacterial small subunit ribosomal RNA", at positions 28 to 507 of the family's 1533-position model. The record is from RNAcentral.